CAAAAGGUAGUUUAAUAAAAAUGCUAGUUUUGGGGAUUAGUGAUGGGGGGAAACCCCUCCUUUUGA
RNAcentral lists this transfer RNA (66 nucleotides) under Mesalina olivieri. RNAcentral's name for it is "tRNA-Pro". The record is from RNAcentral. Lineage: Eukaryota; Metazoa; Chordata; Lepidosauria; Squamata; Lacertidae.